This is a long non-coding RNA of Perca flavescens (yellow perch), 190 nucleotides long. RefSeq lists it as uncharacterized. Lineage: Eukaryota; Metazoa; Chordata; Actinopteri; Perciformes; Percidae. The transcript has 3 exons. The record is from RefSeq and is a predicted model, not a curated record.
UCUAGUUUGGUAUAAUAAUUUUGAUCAUUAAGCUGUCUGUGUCCCUCCCACAGAUAAUCCUUCCUGUCCAUGAGGACCACUGCGCUCCCUUUAUCUGCAGGAGGGAGCUGUGCAGCAGAGGGAACCCAGGUGGACCUGGGAAUGAAGGGAAGGUGUACAGAAUCUGGGUUAUGGUGUUUAAAAACUGGAC